Molecule: ribosomal RNA, 326 nt
Filed under: uncultured eukaryote
Lineage: Eukaryota
Description: partial 18S ribosomal RNA
Rfam family: Eukaryotic small subunit ribosomal RNA
Source: RNAcentral
CCCUUAGAUGUCCUGGGCCGCACGCGCGCUACACUGAUGCAUUCAACGAGCUUAUAACCUUGGCCGAGAGGCCUGGGCAAUCAUGUUAACGUGCAUCGUGAUAGGGAUAGAUUAUUGAAAUUAUUAAUCUUGAACGAGGAAUUCCUAGUAAACGCAGAUCAUCAAUCUGCAUUGAUUACGUCCCUGCCCUUUGUACACACCGCCCGUCGCUCCUACCGAUUGAGUGCUCAGGUGAAUAAUUCGGACUGCAGCAAUGUUCGGAUCCCGAACGUUGCCGCGGAAAGUUUAGGGAACCUUAUCACUUAGAGGAAGGAGAAGUCGUAACA